CACCAACUAAGAACGGCCAUGCACCACCACCCACAGAAUCGAGAAAGAGCUAUCUAUCUGUCAAUCCUUUCCGUGUCCGGGCCGGGUGAGGAUUGACAGAUAGAUAGCUCUUUCUCGAUUCUGUGGGUGGUGGUGCAUGGCCGUUCUUAGUUGGUGGAGAGAUUUGUCUGGUUAAUUCCGAUAACGAACGAGAGUCUGGCAUACUAACUAGUUAUGCGACCCCCGAGCGAUCGGCGUCCAACAUCUUA
Molecule: non-coding RNA, 248 nt
Organism: Chrysemys picta bellii (western painted turtle)
Lineage: Eukaryota; Metazoa; Chordata; Testudines; Emydidae
Source: RefSeq, a predicted model, not a curated record